CCAGGUUAUAACCAGGUAAUGUCUCAGGUUAUAUUAUAACCUGAGACAUUACCUGGUUAUUACCAAG
This is a non-coding RNA of Xyrichtys novacula (pearly razorfish), 67 nucleotides long. Lineage: Eukaryota; Metazoa; Chordata; Actinopteri; Labriformes; Labridae. The record is from the annotation of a GenBank genome assembly.